AAUGUUGUCAUUGUUGGAUUCAUGGGAAGC
This 30-nucleotide non-coding RNA is filed under the name Homo sapiens (human). The record is from RNAcentral. Lineage: Eukaryota; Metazoa; Chordata; Mammalia; Primates; Hominidae.